Molecule: ribosomal RNA, 468 nt
Filed under: uncultured bacterium
Lineage: Bacteria
Description: partial 16S ribosomal RNA
Rfam family: Bacterial small subunit ribosomal RNA
Source: RNAcentral
GACGAACGCUGGCGGCGUGCUUAACACAUGCAAGUCGAACGGAAAGGCCCUGCUUUUGUGGGGUGCUCGAGUGGCGAACGGGUGAGUAACACGUGAGUAACCUGCCCUUGACUUUGGGAUAACUUCAGGAAACUGGGGCUAAUACCGGAUAGGAGCUCCUGCUGCAUGGUGGGGGUUGGAAAGUUUCGGCGGUUGGGGAUGGACUCGCGGCUUAUCAGCUUGUUGGUGGGGUAGUGGCUUACCAAGGCUUUGACGGGUAGCCGGCCUGAGAGGGUGACCGGCCACAUUGGAACUGAGAUACGGCCCAGACUCCUACCGGAGGCAGCAGUGGGGAAUAUUGCACAAUGGACCGAAGCCUGAUGCAGCAACGCCGCGUGCGUGAUGACGGCCUUCGGGUUGUAAACCACUUUCGCCUGUAACGAAGCGUGAGUGACGGUAAUGGGUAAAGAAGCACCGGCUAACUACGUG